RNAcentral lists this ribosomal RNA (496 nucleotides) under uncultured bacterium. Its description in RNAcentral is "bacterial SSU rRNA". It matches the Rfam family "Bacterial small subunit ribosomal RNA", at positions 28 to 521 of the family's 1533-position model. The record is from RNAcentral.
GAUGAACGCUAGCGGCAGGCUUAACACAUGCAAGUCGAGGGGCAGCGCGACGUAGCAAUACGUUGGCGGCGACCGGCGGAAGGGUGCGUAACGCGUGAGCAACUUGCCCGUGACAGGGGGAUAACCGGUGGAAACGCCGCCUAACACCCCGUAACAGCAUCGCCCGCAUGGGCGGUGUUUGAAAUCCGAGGAGGUCACGGAUGGGCUCGCGUGGCAUUAGCCAGUUGGCGGGGUAACGCCCACCAAAGCGACGAUGCCUAGGGGUUCUGAGAGGAAGGUCCCCCACACUGGAACUGAGACACGGUCCAGACUCCUACGGGAGGCAGCAGUGAGGAAUAUUGGACAAUGGAGGAAACUCUGAUCCAGCCAUGCCGCGUGAAGGAAGUAGGCCCUAUGGGUCGUGAACUUCUUUUGUCGCAGAGCAAUAAGGGCCACGCGUGGUCCGAUGAGGUAUGCGACGAAUAAGCAUCGGUAACUCCGUGCCAGCAGCCGCGGU